RNAcentral lists this ribosomal RNA (264 nucleotides) under uncultured bacterium. RNAcentral's name for it is "partial 16S ribosomal RNA". It matches the Rfam family "Bacterial small subunit ribosomal RNA", at positions 77 to 339 of the family's 1533-position model. The record is from RNAcentral.
AGCUUGCUCCGAUCGGAUUAGUGGCGGACGGGUGAGUAACGCGUGAGUAACCUGCCUGCGAGAGGGGGAUAACAACGGGAAACUGUUGCUAAUACCACAUAACGCAUCGAUUCCGCAUGGAGAUGAUGCCAAAGGGAAACCGCUUGCAGAUGGACUCGCGUCUGAUUAGGUAGUUGGUGAGGUAACGGCUCACCAAGCCGACGAUCAGUAGCCGGACUGAGAGGUUGAACGGCCACAUUGGAACUGAGAUACGGUCCAGACUCC